UACGAAGGGAGCUAGCGUUGUUCGGAAUUACUGGGCGUAAAGGGCGCGUAGGCGGUUUAACAAGUUGGGUGUGAAAGCCCAGGGCUCAACCCUGGAACGGCACCCAAGACUGUUUUACUUGAAUUCGGUAGAGGUUGGUGGAAUUCCCAGUGUAGAGGUGAAAUUCGUAGAGAUUGGGAAGAAUAUCCGUGGCGAAGGCGGCCAACUGGACCGACAUUGACGCUGAGGCGCGAAAGCGUGGGGAGCAAACAGG
RNAcentral lists this ribosomal RNA (253 nucleotides) under uncultured bacterium. Its description in RNAcentral is "partial 16S ribosomal RNA". It matches the Rfam family "Bacterial small subunit ribosomal RNA", at positions 524 to 776 of the family's 1533-position model. The record is from RNAcentral.